This 450-nucleotide ribosomal RNA is filed under the name uncultured bacterium. RNAcentral describes it as "bacterial SSU rRNA". It matches the Rfam family "Bacterial small subunit ribosomal RNA", at positions 29 to 516 of the family's 1533-position model. The record is from RNAcentral.
AACGAACGCUGGCGGCAUGCCUAACACAUGCAAGUCGAACGGGAUCCUAGCUUGCUAGGUGAGAGUGGCGGACGGGUGAGUAACACGUGGGAAUCUGCCUUUUUGGUUCGGGAUAACCGCGGGAAACUGCGGCUAAUACCGAAUGCCCUCGAGAGAGGAAAGAUUUAUCGCCAGAAGAGGAGCCCGCGUCCGAUUAGGUAGUUGGUGGGGUAAAGGCCUACCAAGCCGACGAUCGGUAGCUGGUCUGAGAGGAUGAUCAGCCACACUGGGACUGAGAUACGGCCCAGACUCCUACGGGAGGCAGCAGUGGGGAAUAUUGGACAAUGGGGGCAACCCUGAUCCAGCAAUGCCGCGUGAGUGAUGAAGGCCUUAGGGUUGUAAAGCUCUUUUGCCAGGGAAGAUGAUGACUGUACCUGGAGAAUAAGCCCGGCUAACUUCGUGCCAGCAGCC